Xenopus laevis (African clawed frog) is the source of this 3575-nucleotide long non-coding RNA. RefSeq lists it as uncharacterized. The record is from RefSeq and is a predicted model, not a curated record. NCBI's taxonomy places the organism in Eukaryota, Metazoa, Chordata, Amphibia, Anura, Pipidae. The transcript has 2 exons.
AGCAUCCUAACAGUUCAAACAGGGAAAUUGAAGCUACUCCAUGUUUGGCCCUGGCAAGGUAAAUCAUUUUAUUACCAGUAUAUAACCCCUCCCCUCUCCCUUUUUGUGACUGUUAGGACUACCGAUCAGCAUAAAUACUUUAUGCAGGGGGGUUAUCUCUGUGCUGAUAAUCAAAUUGUUUACCUUGCAAGGAACAAACCUGGAGUUGUUUCCGUUUUCAUGAUUGCCCAGUUUAGCUCAGUAAAUAACAAAAAACAUAUUUCAUGAUUAAAACAAUAGAUGAAAAGUAUCACAAGUCAUAUCCACUGAACUGCUGAACAGAGUAUACUACUCCUCAAUUUCACUUGUUUCCUCACAAAUUACCCUAUGUUUUUUUCUGUAUAAGAAAAGUACUCCGAUAUAUACAUGAACAUUCAGCUGACUUAUAUUGUCAAAAUUUUGCAUCUACCUCAAUGAAAUUAGGUAAGUGGUACGGUGGGGAAAAUGCUCAUUAUUGCGGAGGCGGUGCUCCAUUGACAGAGGCUUUAGGAGUUGUAGUUUAUAAAGUGCCACAAUGUUUAUAUACUCCAGGUAUAUAUUGUUGGGUCUGUACACUGCAUAUUAACACUCAGCAAAAAGUAUUGCUUACCAUUUAUAGCCUGCUCUACUUCCAUAAUAACUGCAAUCAAAGUGUGCACACAAUAGCACUGGAUUAAGCCAAUUCUGUUUUUAGAGUUUUAUUUUAAAUCCUUUGUGAUGUACAGUUUUCUUUAAUGUACAGCAGUAGUUUAGUAAUAUUCCAGCUGCAGUCUUCCAUGCAGAGUCAGAUCAUUAUCAUUACUAAUAAUUCCCUGUGCAGAAGAGUAGUUGGUGGUGGUAUGGUUACUGAAACCAGCUUGUUUUUGUUGCAGCACUUCUAAUUCUUGGGUGUAUUUUCUUUUGUGUAUGGUAUGGAAGGUGGGUCAUUUGCAUAGACAUGUAAAGUAUGCAAACCGUCACUAUAAUUAUACUAAAUGUAAAGGAAAUGUUUUAUGCGCUUUUGUUAAAACGAGCCUCUACUUUAGCUAAUAUCUUACUUUAUUUUAUUAUGUAACAGAACCUACUUUGGUACACCUACAGCAAAGUCCUAUCAGUCAGGUUUUCUUAUUUCUUAUUAGCCAUCUUUUAUAACAUGAUGUGAAUUUUUCCCACAGCAACAACUUUAACAAUUUUAAUUUAUUAAAGGAAGGGAUGAGAUGUACUGUUUAAUAUAAAGCAGCUAUGAAUGGCCCCUCUAUGGUGUCUUCUCACUUUCAGCCUCCCUUGGAUCUUAAUGGUUCUGUUAAGAGGUAUUAUCUACUUGUAAGCCCACACUCUCUCUGCUGAGAAUCUCUGCAGUUUUAAGGCAGCUCCUAACCAAUAAUGUGCCAGCUGAUGGCAUUCCAGGAAUUGUUGAGCUUUCACCAACCCCUCAGGAACACAGAACCUGCUGCAGACAAUGACACAGCAAUCACAAGUAGGCUAAAGAACCCUUCACUUUUAUCUGUACAGUAUUUACAGUGAUGAGAAUAGAGACUCUGCAGAUGCAUCACAUUAUGGGCAUUUCUCUUAUAAGGAAGUCCAUUAAUUCACCAGCAUAAAUUAGAUUAUGAAUAGAACUAACCUGUUAGGACGUUUGUUGUUUGUCCCAUAGGGGUUAGUAUGGCUAUUGCUGUUUUAAUCAUUAGAAAAUGUUUUCCCUGCAAGUCCACUCAAAGUCCACUUUUAAACUCCAGUCCUUAUAGCUGUGAUAUAUAUAAAUAUAUAUGUCCUGAGAUGGAGACCUUAAUGUUGAAUCUAACAGCCCUAGUGUGUUUAGUUCAGCAGUACAAAAUAAACUAACAUGAAAGGACUCCCCUGGCCUUCUCCUUACCCCAUACCUGAGAAGUCUCUUGCUCAGUUCAUGGGUGGAUAACUGUUAGGGAUAAAGUUCUUCAUUUUCAGACCUUUGGCUCUUGCUGCUCUAGUGAUUCACUUCUCUGUUUCUUUUCUUCAUCCUCUCCAUUUUCUGUUUCAUGUUUCCUUGCGGGCGUCUCACAGUUAGUGCUCCUCAGAACUUUAGCGCUGUGCUCUUGUGCUCUGGCACGUAAUGCUGCGAUGCUGUUCUCCCUUAGUUCCUCCUCUGAGAUGGGAGCUGACAGCUCAGGCUCCAUUCUUUCAUUGGUUGUGGGUUGACUUGGAAGAGCUGGUGCUUCUUGUUCAGGCUGCUGCACUCUAUCUGCUGCUGUCUCCAGUGUCUUUUUGUGCAUUCCUGCAAAGAAUUGUUGGUAUUCUGGUUUAGAAAAUCGUCUGGGCAUUUGCAAGCCAUCUUGAACUGAAAACAGUAGAGAUAAAGAGCAAAUUAAGAGGAAUAGGAGUAGGGAAAAUGACAACGCGUGGCACUGGCUGAAGGAGUGUAUGAUCCUUUAAAUCUUGCCAUAAAAUGCUGAUAACGCUGGACCACUCCAGCAAUUUCUAGACCACAUCCCCAAGCACUUUUAUUGUGAGAGGAUUAUCACGCAUGGACAAGAUUGGAGGAAGUUGAUAUCCCUGUUCCUAAUGCUUAUUUUAAAGUUUUUUGCCUAGAAAUGUUCCCCUAUGGCACAUAGACUAUUGGCACAAUGGCAGUUUUUUUGAGCAGGGAAAACCCUGUCUUCAAUAAUAGUAAGCUGUUAUUUUUCUGUUGAAAAAAACAAUGGGAAAAAAAGGGUUGAAUUUGGAAAAGGAUUUUAAGAAUUUUACCUUUUAAUUUUCAUAAGUCUGCCCCUACAUAUGAAACAGAGCUACUUAAUAUCCACUGCUCUUUAUUGUUGUUUGGUUCAUUAUUUUCUCAUUAAAGUCCAUGAGGUAUUUGAACGAGUUGCCACAUUACCUGGGAAGGUCUGCUGGAGACCCUGUUUGGAAUAAUACAUUGCAGUGAAAGAAAACACGCUGCAUGCCAUCCUAGCAUACCUUGUAUACAGAAAAGUGGCAGCUGGGUUUAUGACAAGAAGUUUAUAAAUCAAAAACAAAACUGAGAAUUAAAAGUGUUGUAGAUGAAGUAACUUGCAGGUGCUAUAAAAUUAACUGAUGAGGAGGAGGAAGUUGUGCUGAAAUAAUAUGUUUACAUACAGUACAUAUUCAUUGGGCCAUGCAGUGAACUAUGACGGAAUUCAUUUCUCACCCAGAAGCCAGGGAGCACAGGACUCCAUUAUGCCAUCCUUCGCCGAUUUUAAGAUUGAUUCUGGGAGGGGAAUUGAGUGUCGAACCAUUGCCCCAUACAGACCAUAUUCAGCCAUCACGCUGCUUCGACCCCAGCAUUUCUCUCUUUUUCUCCAUUUCGCUCGUCUGUUCUGGAACCAAACCUAACCAAAAUAAAGGCAUAAGAUGUCAUUAAAUGUUAUAGCAUUCAUAAUGGAGUUUGCAGCUAAAAUGAUAAAUAUAGUAAUACUCUUGCUAUAAAUGUACGUAGUGCUCUCUCCUUAAAAGUUCCAGAGAUAUAAAAUGAAAAAGUUCUUCCCAGUAAAGGGAUUAAUUUAGGGAGUGUACACUUUUGUCUAAUCGGUAACAUGUUUAUCUGCAGCUGUAACUUUGAGAAAAUUAUAUGAAUAUCACUGGCU